Molecule: ribosomal RNA, 253 nt
Filed under: uncultured bacterium
Lineage: Bacteria
Description: partial 16S ribosomal RNA
Rfam family: Bacterial small subunit ribosomal RNA
Source: RNAcentral
UACGGGGGGGGUAAGCGUUGUUCGGAAUUACUGGGCGUAAAGGGCUCGUAGGCGGCCAACUAAGUCAUACGUGAAAUCCCUCAGCUUAACUGGGGAACUGCGUGUGAUACUGGGUGGCUUGGAUUUGGGAGAGGGAUGCGGAAUUCCAGGUGUAGCGGUGAAAUGCGUAGAUAUCUGGAGGAACACCGGUGGCGAAGGCGGCAUCCUGGACCAAUAUUGACGCUGAGGAGCGAAAGCCAGGGGAGCAAACGGG